RNAcentral lists this ribosomal RNA (486 nucleotides) under uncultured bacterium. RNAcentral's name for it is "partial 16S ribosomal RNA". It matches the Rfam family "Bacterial small subunit ribosomal RNA", at positions 29 to 507 of the family's 1533-position model. The record is from RNAcentral.
AUUGAACGCUGGCGGCAUGCCUUACACAUGCAAGUCGAACGGCAGCACGGGUGCUUGCACCUGGUGGCGAGUGGCGAACGGGUGAGUAAUACAUCGGAACAUGUCCUGUAGUGGGGGAUAGCCCGGCGAAAGCCGGAUUAAUACCGCAUACGAUCUACGGAUGAAAGCGGGGGCCCUUCGGGCCUCGCGCUAUAGGGUUGGCCGAUGGCUGAUUAGCUAGUUGGUGGGGUAAAGGCCUACCAAGGCGACGAUCAGUAGCUGGUCUGAGAGGACGACCAGCCACACUGGAACUGAGACACGGCCCAGACUCCUACGGGAGGCAGCAGUGGGGAAUUUUGGACAAUGGGCGAAAGCCUGACCCAGCAAUGCCGCGUGUGUGAAGAAGGCCUUCGGGUUGUAAAGCACUUUUGUCCGGAAAGAACACCUGGGCCCGAAUACGGGCGGGGGAUGACGGUACCGAAAGAAAAAGCACCGGCUAACUACGUG